UAGCUGGACUCCACCCAGCAUUUCCGCAUUUAGUGCACUGUUUCCUAUCCUCAGAAGAGCUGUUUCCCAAUAACCCAUUCAUUAUUCCACUUUUCCUUUUUUGCUUUCUACACAAAGACCCCUAUCAGACAAGUCUCAAUCAGGUUCCCUUCGUCUCCUCCUAUCCUCUCUGACGUUUCUUGCUCAGGGAUCUUUCCGAUCAGAAAGAGAAGCCACCUCCUCAUGGAUCUCUGUUCUGAGACCAAGUAUGUCCCCCGAUGCAUUCCUGGCCACCAUCCUUGGAUUGAUUUUGCCUGAAAGGCAUCAAAAGCGGCGUCAAAAUUAACUUUGAUAGUCGAAACAUCUGGUAGGCACCAACCCGCAACCUCAUGGUUCAUGGUAAAGUUUAGGAUCUCCAACCCCUCUAAUUCCUUAAUAUGUUUGUUUAUCCAUAUAGCAACUUCUUGACCCGUACUGUUUUUUCCUUCAUGUAAUCAUUUGUUUCUGGCUAUCCAAAUCGCCCACAUAGAGUAGCAAAAAACUCGACACUGAGUGUUGGAACUAUUUUUGAACACCCAGGGCAUUCCUUGAAGAUAUGGUCGAUGUUUUCAGCCGUUGUACCACAUCUGGGGCAGACUACCACUGAGAGCAAUCUCUUGCACCAUAGAUUAACAAAAUGGGGAAUAAAAUUCCAUGAAAUUUUCUAGAUUAGAAUUUUUAUUUUCGCUUGAAUGUUAAUAUUCCAUAAUUUUGUGUAAAAUAAAUUAGCGUUGGUCUGUAAAUAAUUAGGAAAGCCCUGUAAUAGUUUGUAAGCACUUCUCACCGAGAAUUCUCCAGAGGCCUCCCCCUUCCAUACCAUGAAGUCCUCAUGAGGUAUCUUUGCUAGAGGGAUUCACACAAUUCUGUUAGCUUCUUCUCUAGAGAAGGUAGAAAAAACUCAAAUCAGGCUUCCAUUCUCUCUUUUGUUCAUCAAUAAGUUUUGCAACUUUGCUUAGUUCACUGGCAUUUCUAAAGGAUUCUACCUUGUAACUUUCGGUUCCAUGAAGCCACGCAUCACCAGUAAUUGAAAUAUUCAUACCCGUUCCCACUUUCCAACAAA
Molecule: long non-coding RNA, 1078 nt
Organism: Gossypium arboreum
Lineage: Eukaryota; Viridiplantae; Streptophyta; Magnoliopsida; Malvales; Malvaceae
Exons: 3
Source: RefSeq, a predicted model, not a curated record